Molecule: long non-coding RNA, 432 nt
Filed under: Populus tremula
Lineage: Eukaryota; Viridiplantae; Streptophyta; Magnoliopsida; Malpighiales; Salicaceae
Description: long non-coding RNA (PTRE_LNC000391)
Source: RNAcentral
GGGAUUUUUAUCCUUUCAAUAAGCUGCCGAAUGGGCAAGAAAAAUGUGUGUUUUAUGGCUUGAUUUUGACGAGAAAUUGGUUGGUUUUUCUGCAGAUCUUGUACUAUUUGUAACGGGAGGAGAUGAAGAAGAAAACUGGGUAUGAGAAAAAAAAUUGACAGGCAAAAACAGAAAUAAAAGUUUUUUUUCGGAACAGAUAAACAAUCAACGAUUUUUUGCUAUUAUUCUUGCAGAUCUAAAAAAUAUGAAGAAGAUAAAAACAAACGGAGCCUAAUAUACAUAAAAAAUACAGAAAUUUUGAGGGAAAAAAUACCUGAAAUGGAAGAGUGUGAUUCUCAAAUCUUCUUGCUUUUUUCAACUGUUUUUAUUUUUAGACAGAGAUGCAGAGAGGAGAACAACGGAGCCAAAGAUUAGGAAAGUGUUUUCCUUUUG